UGGUGUGCAGUGCCCUUUGAUCUCUUCAU
Molecule: non-coding RNA, 29 nt
Filed under: Mus musculus (house mouse)
Lineage: Eukaryota; Metazoa; Chordata; Mammalia; Rodentia; Muridae
Source: RNAcentral